AAUUAUACCCUUUUCAUUUAAAAACCUAACCCAAAUUCGUUAGUUUCUCAGAUCUCUCUCUCUCUCUCUCUCUCUCUCUCUCUCUCCCCGCGUCUUCUCCCUUUCUCCUCCCCUGUGUUUCGACCAACACCGACAAAACCCCCCAGCCACUGUCACGUCGGCCACCUAGCCACCGGACCGGUCAAGUUUUGACCGGCGUCGCACCCCAAGCCAGCUCCGACCUUCCUCCUACCUCUGAUGCUGCUGUUUUGCCGGAAAACCCCGGUUUUGAUCGGAUUUUUACUCGGUUUUCCAAUCCAUCGAUCUCUCUCCUCCGGCCCUCAAAUCCUUCGAUUGAGGUCAAAUUUUGCAUGUUUGAAUUUUCAAGGCUUUUACACUGCAGUCUUGGAGAAAGAUGAUGUGUUGAUAUCUGUAGCAUCAAUCAGUGAAUAAGGGGCAACGAAGUUGG
Long non-coding RNA from Prunus avium (sweet cherry), 448 nucleotides. RefSeq lists it as uncharacterized. The record is from RefSeq and is a predicted model, not a curated record. Lineage: Eukaryota; Viridiplantae; Streptophyta; Magnoliopsida; Rosales; Rosaceae.